Molecule: ribosomal RNA, 385 nt
Filed under: Calanus sinicus
Lineage: Eukaryota; Metazoa; Arthropoda; Copepoda; Calanoida; Calanidae
Description: partial 16S large subunit ribosomal RNA
Rfam family: Bacterial large subunit ribosomal RNA
Source: RNAcentral
CCGCGUUAGUGCUAAGGUAGCAUAAUAAUUAGUUUUUUAAUUGGAAAAUGGAAUGAAUGGUUUCACUAAAAUAUAGCAUUUACACUAGUAAGUGAAAUUUUAAUUUAAGUGAAAAUUCUUAAAAGACCCACUUAGACGAGAAGACCCUAUGAAUCUGGUAAACCUAAGAAUAUGCCUACUAUAGUUAAUUGUUUAUUUUUUGGGGAAAAAAUUAAUAAAAAUAUUAAUAAAUACUUAUUUAACUUAAUCCUCUAGGAAACAUGAAGAAGAUCCUCUAGGGAUAACAGCAUUAUACUUUAAAGAGUUCUUAUCAGAAUAAGUGUUUGUGACCUCGAUGUUGAAUUAAAUACCCCCGUGUGUGUAGGAUCUCACUGGAGGCGGUCUG